This is a long non-coding RNA of Pezoporus flaviventris, 245 nucleotides long. RefSeq lists it as uncharacterized. The record is from RefSeq and is a predicted model, not a curated record. NCBI's taxonomy places the organism in Eukaryota, Metazoa, Chordata, Aves, Psittaciformes, Psittacidae. The transcript is spliced from 3 exons.
GGCCGUCUUACAGCCACAGAUGAAUCUUGCCAGGUACCAGUCUGAAGCACCAAUAUGUCCCCCGUGCCACUGCAAGAAGUUUCUGAAGUUUCCUUUUGUGCAAAUAGCUGUCAUCGUGCAACAGUUAUGUUUUGGAUGCCAAGAGGAUGAGCCCCCAGACCUUUCCAGAGCCUGAGAUCAUGCUGCUAGGAGUCAGAGGUCUGGGAACCAGGCUCAGUUUGUCAAGACUGAGGCCAAAAAGUCAU